RNAcentral lists this ribosomal RNA (254 nucleotides) under uncultured bacterium. Its description in RNAcentral is "partial 16S ribosomal RNA". It matches the Rfam family "Bacterial small subunit ribosomal RNA", at positions 524 to 776 of the family's 1533-position model. The record is from RNAcentral.
CACGUAGGGGGCAAGCGUUGUCCGGAUUUAUUGGGCGUAAAGAGCUCGUAGGCGGUUCGGUAAGUCGGGUGUGAAACCUCCAGGCUCAACCUGGAGUCGCCACUCGAUACUGCUGUGACUAGAGUCCGGUAGGGGAGCGUGGAAUUCCUGGUGUAGCGGUGAAAUGCGCAGAUAUCAGGAGGAACACCAGCGGCGAAGGCGGCGCUCUGGGCCGGAACUGACGCUGAGGAGCGAAAGCGUGGGGAGCAAACAGG